GUUUAUGAUGAAUAUCUACAAUUUUCACGACGGUCAACUGCGUUUUCCAAAUGUUUAUGGAAAAACUUUGAUGAUAAUCUGCCUGUGACAGGGCGCGAUACUGACA
Molecule: small nucleolar RNA, 106 nt
Filed under: Kazachstania africana CBS 2517
Lineage: Eukaryota; Fungi; Ascomycota; Saccharomycetes; Saccharomycetales; Saccharomycetaceae
Description: Small nucleolar RNA snR73
Rfam family: Small nucleolar RNA snR73
Source: Rfam by way of RNAcentral